GGCGUUUGUACCAAAGUGGUUACUGGGAUGGUCUAGAAAACCAUUGCCCUUCGGGCGCGUAGGUUCGAAUCCUACCAACGUCG
Atractiella rhizophila is the source of this 83-nucleotide non-coding RNA. Lineage: Eukaryota; Fungi; Basidiomycota; Atractiellomycetes; Atractiellales; Hoehnelomycetaceae. The record is from the annotation of a GenBank genome assembly.